GACGAACGCUGGCGGCGUGCUUAACACAUGCAAGUCGAACGGAAAGGCCCUGCUUGUGUGGGGUGCUCGAGUGGCGAACGGGUGAGUAACACGUGAGUAACCUGCCCAUGACUUUGGGAUAACUUCAGGAAACUGGGGCUAAUACCGGAUAGGAGCGCCUGCUGCAUGGUGGGGGUUGGAAAGUUUCGGCGGUUGGGGAUGGACUCUCGGCUUAUCAGCUUGUUGGUGGGGGAGUGGCUUACCAAGGCUUUGACGGGUAGCCGGCCUGAGAGGGUGACCGGCCACCAUGGUACUGCGAGACGGCCCAGUCUCCUACGGGAGGCAGCAGUGGGGAAUAUUGCACAGUGGGCGGAAGCCUGAUGCAGCGACGCCGCGAUCGUGAUGACGGCCUUCGGGUUGUAAACCGCUUUCGCCUGUGACGAAGCGUGAGUGACGGUAAUGGGUAAAGAAGCACCGGCUAACUACGUG
Molecule: ribosomal RNA, 468 nt
Filed under: uncultured bacterium
Lineage: Bacteria
Description: partial 16S ribosomal RNA
Rfam family: Bacterial small subunit ribosomal RNA
Source: RNAcentral